GAAAUUGAUAGGAGCGGUUGAAGCAUUUGACUUUUCAUAGUAUUAUUUAGGCGUCCAAGUGCUUAUCUUGAUGGUAUCUAAUAUAAUUGGUAUUCAUUCAUGGUAUCUUGUAGUUACUUGAUCAUAUUGUUAUUCAAGGGGAAAACUCUUAAAUAUAUUUAUAUGUUUUUUUCCCACCUUCACGUUGGAUAUUCCAUAAAGAUUGCUGAACAUUUAUGUGAUUUCUUCAGGAGGAAGAUAAAGUAAGGCUGGUGCAGGAAACUGGUCUGUAAUUAAAGCAGAUCAGAGGAAGAGGAAUUGGCACAAUAAUCCUUCUUCUACUAUCUUGAAGAGCAAGUGCAAAAGGUAUUUUCUUAAUUUGAGUCAAGAGCUAUGGUCUAACUUAGUUGGUGCAUCUUAUUAUGCAAAGGGUUGCAGUGAAGGCAAAGCGUCUCGAAUUUUAUAUGUGUCUAGUGAAGAGAGCCUUGAGCAAAUUGGUAACAGAGCAGAACGCCUUAGGAUUGAAUCAGAUAUAUAUUUAUAUUCAAGUACUGAUAUUGAGGUG
Molecule: non-coding RNA, 544 nt
Organism: Arachis ipaensis
Lineage: Eukaryota; Viridiplantae; Streptophyta; Magnoliopsida; Fabales; Fabaceae
Source: RefSeq, a predicted model, not a curated record